UACAGAGGGUGCGAGCGUUAAUCGGAAUUACUGGGCGUAAAGCGCACGUAGGCGGCUUGGUAUGUCGGGUGUGAAAUCCCCCGGGCUCAACCUGGGAACUGCAUCCGAAACUGCCUUGCUAGAGUAUGGGAGAGGGAAGUGGAAUUUCCGGUGUAGCGGUGAAAUGCGCAGAUAUCAGGAGGAACACCGGUGGCGAAGGCGGGUCUCUGGGCCGAUACUGACGCUGAGGAGCGAAAGCGUGGGGAGCGAACAGG
RNAcentral lists this ribosomal RNA (254 nucleotides) under uncultured bacterium. RNAcentral describes it as "partial 16S ribosomal RNA". It matches the Rfam family "Bacterial small subunit ribosomal RNA", at positions 524 to 776 of the family's 1533-position model. The record is from RNAcentral.